Molecule: ribosomal RNA, 253 nt
Filed under: uncultured bacterium
Lineage: Bacteria
Description: partial 16S ribosomal RNA
Rfam family: Bacterial small subunit ribosomal RNA
Source: RNAcentral
UACGUAGGGUGCGAGCGUUAAUCGGAAUUACUGGGCGUGAAGCGUGCGUAGACGGUUAUCUAAGUCGGAUGUGAAAGCCCCGGGCUCAACCUGGGAAUUGCAUUCGGGACUGAAUAGCUAGGGUACGGUAGAGGGAAGUGGAAUUUCCGGUGUAGCGGUGAAAUGCGUAGAUAUGUCUCAGAACACCGAUUGCGAAGGCAGCUUACUAUGGUCUUAUUGACGCUGAGGCACGAAAGCGUGGGGAUCAAACAGG